Molecule: long non-coding RNA, 5778 nt
Filed under: Citrus sinensis (sweet orange)
Lineage: Eukaryota; Viridiplantae; Streptophyta; Magnoliopsida; Sapindales; Rutaceae
Description: long non-coding RNA (CSIN_LNC000630)
Source: RNAcentral
UUUAUAUUGAUGUGAGGUCGCCCAAUGGGACAACACAUGGUGUUCUGCUUCUUAACAGCAAUGGCAUGGAUGUCGUUUAUACUGGUGACAGGAUUAGUUACAAGGUUACUGGAGGGAUUAUUGAUUUGUAUUUUUUUGCCGGACCUUCGCCGGAUUCAGUCAUACAACAAUAUACAGAGUUAAUUGGUCGGCCUGCCCCUAUGCCAUAUUGGUCCUUUGGUAUCUUUUCUGUGAAUACCUGCUUACUUUGUUUUGAUAAGUUACGCUAAUACUUAUACACAAUUUAAUCAUUCUCUAUGUUGCAAUACGAUGGAUUGGAGUAAAUUAUUCGAAAAUUUCUUCAUUUUUGCCAUACAUUUGUUUGAGAUUAUACUAUACGGGUUGUACUUGUUGGCCACUUACCAUCAUGAGUUAUACAUUGUAGAGUAAGUUUGAGAAAAAGAAAAUAUAAAGUAUCCUUUCUUAUUUUACUUAGGCCUGUCUGUCAUUGUGGUUGGGUAACUAUAGGUUAAAAGUUACGGCACUAAAAUAUUUAGUACAUAUUAACUGUUGUGGCUUAGAAGUUAAGCUGAUUUAAUAUGCCGCUUGUAUAAUGAAAAACCUAAAAUAUCUUUAUUAUUUUUGUCAAAAUGAUUAUUUACUACGUACUAUUAAUUUUUAUUUCAUAAUCACAAUUAUUAUAACUUAAAAACUAUGGCACCUCACUACCAAACUAAGGCCUUAGUUACCUUAUUAACAAAUCAAAUAUAGAGUCACCACAAUUUGAUUUACUAGCUUUGAUAAGUUAUUCAUUCUGAAGUAUUCUUCUAUCUGCCUUGAGAUAAAUUUAUUUUCUUGGUGUAUAACUCUUCUAAGCUAGGUUUCCAGUUAACCAAAGGUGACGGCAUGACCAAUUAUUUCGUUCUUCCCAAUUUGAUUUUCACGUUGUCUUAAUGCACAGGAUUUCAUCAGUGUCGAUAUGGUUACGAAAACGUGUCCGAUCUUAAAGCUGUGGUUGCUGGCUAUGCAAAAGCUGGCAUCCCUCUUGAAGUUAUGUGGACAGAUAUUGAUUACAUGGAUGGAUAUAAGGAUUUCACUCUGGAUCCCAUCAACUUUCCAGUGAACUCAAUGCAAAAUUUUGUAAAUACACUCCAUCAAAAUGGACAGAGAUAUGUGCUCAUCUUGGAUCCUGGUAUGUAGUUAUAGAAAAUGAAUUAUCUUACUGCAGAAACAUUUUUUCAGUUUAUUUAUCGUGUCGAUCAAUAAGCCGGAUUAGAGCUCAUUUGUCACAAUAUCCUUUAUAUUUUCCCUUAAAAUAAUUCACUGAACACUAAAGUUUGUCGUAAUAUCUUACAAUGAGUAAGUAAUAUGUAUCACAGUAUACACUAAACGAUAUAAAGUUAUAAACUAUGAUUUGUGGUGAAAUGAUCUAUUCUUAUGUACGAAUUAUACGAAACAUUUUGAUAUAAUCGUCCAAAUUAUAGUAAAAAAAGAAACGCUAGCUUUUGAGGUAACCUAAGAAGUGUCUUGCCGGUUAACUUUCACUACCUAUUUUUCACCUAAUCUUUAGCUCCCUUUUCCUCUCCGACACAUACCCUCAAAUAUAUAGGGGGGUGGGGGAACAUUUUGUUUGUUAUUUUUUAUUUAAACUGGUAGGUUUUUAACCUAAAAUGUUAUAAAUUUUUGGUUUGAGUAAUUAUUUCAUUACUAUGGUACCAAAACAUCCCUAAUAUAUGUGUGUAUAUUUGCUAAUUACUAUGAAAGCUCUAGACAUAAAAUAAAAUAUAAAAAAAGAAAAGAAAAGAAAACUUGAAAAGGCCAGAACAUACAUUAUCCAUCAUAAAUCUUGCCCAAGCCUAAUACAAACUUUGUUUUAAGAAAUCAAUUUACAUUUUAGCAUAGAAAUCAUUAAUUUACAUCUUUAAUUUCUGCUGAAAAAUCAUGAAUAUCUUUCAUUAACCUUUAUUUUCAUUUCAAAGUUUGAAAUUUUUUUUUUUUAAUAAAGGCAUUAGAUAAAAUUAUAAAUAUUUUUAAAUAAAUUCAUCGACACCUCUUUUUCUUAUCUUAAGGUGGAGCGUUAUUUAAAUCUCUCCAACAUGUAAUUGUGAAAAAUGAGCUUCUACAAUUUUAUAUAUUGCGUUUCUCUUUAUAUAUUUAUAUAUUUAUAUAUUUAUAUAUUUAUAUUUAUAUUUAUAUUUAUAUGGACUUUUGCAUUAAAUUUUAGUUGUGAUUUAUACUUACCCUCAUAGUUAUAUUGUACACAAUAUAUAAAAAGAAAAAAGGAAAUUUAAAUUUUGACAAAGUGCCAUUUUGUUAUAUAAAUUUUACUAGAUAAUAAGAGAAAGUACAUAUGCUUAAUUUUUUUUUUAAAAUUUCGGAAAUACAUAUACUUUGCAUUCGGGUUUUGUGCAAACUAUAUAUGUGAUAAAAAAAUUUGGUCAUCAACAUCAGAUAACAUUAGAACAUCACUCUUUGCAGAUAAUAAUCAUAAAAUUAAUUUAUCAUUAUUAAAUUAAUAAUAAUAUUAAUUUUAUUAUUUUAGUUAUUAUUAAUUAUUUGUAUUAUUAUUUUUAUUAAUAUUAUCAUUAUUAUCAUUUAUUAUUAUUAAUUUUAUUUUUUUAAUUAAAAUUAUUUUUAUAAUAAUAUUUACACAUGUAUCUAGUUAAUGAAAAUUACAUUAUUUAAUACUAUGAGUAUUUUGGUAAAUUGACUCUCAUUCUCAUUCCUCAUUCCCAUUUAUUUUGCUAAGUAAACACAUUAAAGACAUUCCUGCACAUUCUCAUUCUCAUUUAUUUUUUGUAAGUAAAUAUUGGAAUCUCAUUCUUAUUCCAACUCAUUCUAUAUAGUAAACGCAUCAUAAAAAUGAAGAUUUCAUAACUAUUUUUAGGGGUGUUCACGAAUUGAAUUUUACGGAUUGGAUAUCAAUCCAUAUCGAAUCCACGAUUUUGCGGAUUAUAAAUUUUUAAUCAAAUCCAAUCCAUGGAUUAGUGAAAUUCAAUCCAAAUGUCUGUAGAUCAGAUGCAGAUUUAACCUAAUCUACCAUUUUAUAGAUUGGUUUGCAAGCUAAAACUUUUUAAUCAUAUCCUAUCCACGAACUAACUAAAUAAAAAAAUUAAUAUAAAAAUAAUUUUACUAUCAAUCAAAUUUAAAAUUAAAUAAGAUUUAAAUAAAUUAGUUGUUUAAAUAAAAUUAAAAAAUACAUUCAAAGUUUUAAAAUAUAACACACCAAAAAGAAAAAAAUUUCAAAGUUUUGUUUAGAUCAGUACAUGAAAAUUAACUGCCUGGAAGCUAUAUUUUUUAUUUAAUUAUUGUUAUUUUAUAUUAUUAUCGGAUAAGACAUAAUAUGAUGUUAAUUUAACUAUAUUUUAACUUAUUUAUUUAUUAAUAAGUAUAAUAUCAUAUUUAUAAGUUUAAUUUUUCUAUUAAAUAAAUAUUUUUUAUAUUUUUUUACUGAUUCCCAAAUUUUUACGGAUUCACAAAAGUAAAUCUAUAUUUAAUCCACCGACUGCGGAUUUUUAAAUUUUCAAUUCAAUCUAAUCCAUCAAUCCACGAAUUAAAUUUGUACAGAUCGAAUUUAUACGGAUUAGACUGAUUGAGCGGAUCCGAUUAAAUUCUAAACACUCCUGACUAUUUUAGUCAACUUUGCUUCGUCACUGUUUGGCUGUCUGGGUAACUGAUAAGGGUCCUUCUAUCUUACAUGCAUGUAAGAUAUAUUCCUCUCACAUGAAUAGUGUGUGGGUCCCACACAUAUACUAUUCAUGUGAGGGGGAUGUAUCUUACAUGCAUGUAAGAUAGGGUUUGCCAACUGAUAAUAGAUAAAAGUCAAAAUAAGAGACAAGAGUUAUAAUUGGCCAUUUCAAGCUCAAAGUGUAAACGUGCCCAGUGCCAAUUCGAAGUUUGAAAAGAAACGUGGGUUAAGUGGACUCUAUCAUCUUAGAAAAAAUGAAGAAACCAGAAAAAAUGAAGAAACCAGAAAAAACUGCUGCUGCUUCUUAUCAUCAACAUCUUUCAUUAUUACUUUUAUUUCUCUAUUGCAUUUUUGUAGCUGCAGAGAAAGAUUCAGUUGGGUAUGGCUACUCUGUUCGAUCAGUCGCUGUUGACUCCUCACUGAAGUCGUUGACUGCUGGACUUGGCCUCAUCAGGUCCUCCUCUGUUUACGGACCUGAUAUUCAGAGCCUCAAUCUUUUUGCCAGGUUUUAAAAUUUACAACUUAAUUGUUCCUUGCUUUUAUGUAUUGUUCACUGACUGUUGGACUAAGCAGUCAGCGAGAAAGACUUGUUUCAAGUUCUAAAUUCGAUAAGCUAGUGAUUUUUGAUGAUUUUUGGUUUGUGACUCUAAGAUUGAUUGAUCUGAUUAUGCUCUGUUUCCCUUCAGCUUUGAGACAAAAGACCGUUUGAGAGUUCGAAUAACAGAUUCCAAAAAACAAAGAUGGGAAAUCCCGCAGGAAAUCAUCCCCCGCCAAUCCUAUUGCACUCACUGCUGGCUGCCGGAAAACAGACUAAACUCACCGGUAAACCACCAAACAGGGCCGGGAAACCACUUCCUCUCCGACCCCACCUCAGACUUAGUCUUCACCCUCCACACCACCCCAUUUGGCUUCUCGGUCAAACGGCGAUCCUCCGGCGACAUUCUUUUCGACACAUCACCUGAAACCUCACACUCUGACACUUUCUUGGUGUUUAAGGAUCAAUACAUUCAACUCUCUUCAGCAUUACCAAUAGAAAGGUCUCAUCUGUAUGGAAUUGGAGAGCACACAAAGAAAUCAUUCAAGUUGACUCCCAAUGACACUCUAACUUUGUGGAAUGCUGACUUGGCCUCAGCAAAUGUUGAUGUUAAUCUCUAUGGCUCUCAUCCUUUUUAUAUUGAUGUGAGGUCGCCCAAUGGGACAACACAUGGUGUUCUGCUUCUUAACAGCAAUGGCAUGGAUGUCGUUUAUACUGGUGACAGGAUUAGUUACAAGGUUACUGGAGGGAUUAUUGAUUUGUAUUUUUUUGCCGGACCUUCGCCGGAUUCAGUCAUACAACAAUAUACAGAGUUAAUUGGUCGGCCUGCCCCUAUGCCAUAUUGGUCCUUUGGUAUCUUUUCUGUGAAUACCUGCUUACUUUGUUUUGAUAAGUUACGCUAAUACUUAUACACAAUUUAAUCAUUCUCUAUGUUGCAAUACGAUGGAUUGGAGUAAAUUAUUCGAAAAUUUCUUCAUUUUUGCCAUACAUUUGUUUGAGAUUAUACUAUACGGGUUGUACUUGUUGGCCACUUACCAUCAUGAGUUAUACAUUGUAGAGUAAGUUUGAGAAAAAGAAAAUAUAAAGUAUCCUUUCUUAUUUUACUUAGGCCUGUCUGUCAUUGUGGUUGGGUAACUAUAGGUUAAAAGUUACGGCACUAAAAUAUUUAGUACAUAUUAACUGUUGUGGCUUAGAAGUUAAGCUGAUUUAAUAUGCCGCUUGUAUAAUGAAAAACCUAAAAUAUCUUUAUUAUUUUUGUCAAAAUGAUUAUUUACUACGUACUAUUAAUUUUUAUUUCAUAAUCACAAUUAUUAUAACUUAAAAACUAUGGCACCUCACUACCAAACUAAGGCCUUAGUUACCUUAUUAACAAAUCAAAUAUAGAGUCACCACAAUUUGAUUUACUAGCUUUGAUAAGUUAUUCAUUCUGAAGUAUUCUUCUAUCUGCCUUGAGAUAAAUUUAUUUUCUUGGUGUAUAACUCUUCUAAGCUAGGUUUCCAGUUAACCAAAGGUGACGGCAUGACCAAUUAUUUCGUUCUUCCCAAUUUGAUUUUCACGUUGUCUUAAUGCACAGGAU